AGUGAACGCUGGCGGUAGGCCUAACACAUGCAAGUCGAACGGCAGCACAGUAAGAGCUUGCUCUUACGGGUGGCGAGUGGCGGACGGGUGAGGAAUACAUCGGAAUCUACUUUUUCGUGGGGGAUAACGUAGGGAAACUUACGCUAAUACCGCAUACGACCUACGGUUGAAAGCAGGGGAUCUUCGGACCUUGCGCGAUUGAAUGCGCCGAUGUCGGAUUAGCUAGUUGGCGGGGUAAAGGCCCACCAAGGCGACGAUCCGUAGCUGGUCUGAGAGGAUGAUCAGCCACACUGGAACUGAGACACGGUCCAGACUCCUACGGGAGGCAGCAGUGGGGAAUAUUGGACAAUGGGCGCAAGCCUGAUCCAGCCAGACCGCGUGGGUGAAGAAGGCCUUCGGGUUGUAAAGCCCUUUUGUUGGGAAAGAAAAGCAGCAGGUUAAUACCCCGCUGUUCUGACGGUACCCAAAGAAUAAGCACCGGCUAACUUCGUG
RNAcentral lists this ribosomal RNA (492 nucleotides) under uncultured bacterium. Its description in RNAcentral is "partial 16S ribosomal RNA". It matches the Rfam family "Bacterial small subunit ribosomal RNA", at positions 29 to 507 of the family's 1533-position model. The record is from RNAcentral.